CCCAUGGAUAAGUCCCUUGCUCAGCCAUCACCAGAGAAGAUUCCUCUUGCAGUAGAUGUGAAUUAAUACAGAGACUUAUAUCUGGACUAUGCAGAGAGUGAGAGACAUUAUAGCAGUACUAAAUGGAAUGUCUUCACCAAACCCUUCCCCUCAGUGCUUAGGGAGCUAUGCCAAAGAGGAGGCAGAAUGACUCUAAGGGCCAGAGAAGAUGGAAGACACCAAAGAAACAGCAUCUUCCACACAUAACAGGACUGAUGCAAAUAUGAACUCACAGAGACUGUGGAAGUUACAGGGUCUCCAGUUAAGGACAUGGUACCCACAAAGGUCAGAAGACAAGGAGCCCCUGGAACUUGAGCUAUG
Molecule: long non-coding RNA, 360 nt
Filed under: Cricetulus griseus (Chinese hamster)
Lineage: Eukaryota; Metazoa; Chordata; Mammalia; Rodentia; Cricetidae
Description: lncRNA (ENSCGRG00015035171.1)
Source: RNAcentral